CGUCCACCGGGGCUCCGCUCCCCUCAGAGACAGGGCUAGGAGGGUCCCCCGCGCUGGCCACUUUCGGGGUCUGCCGCCGCRCCCCCGCCGCAGGGCCGCCGAGAGGCCCCGGGGCUCUGCAGGCCCCCGCGCCCCGUCCGGGGGGUCCCCACUGUGAUGGCGGCCGCUGCGCGGUCCCCGUGGUGAGGGAGCUCCACCCCCCUUGUGAUGGCGCCCGUUGCCGCGGUGCCGCCAUUAGGCCUCCCCCGGCAGCGGCGGCAGCGAAGGACGAGGCAGGGCGGCGACCGGGGUGGCCGCGGAGGGGACGAGGCGCAGGCUGCCAGGCCCCGACGACGCGCCGGCCGGCGGCCAUGGCAGAGGAAUCGGAAGCGCAGCUCUGGAUUGGAAACUCAGCCGGUGCCAUUCCUGUUUCAUGCUAUUGGAAGGAGGCAGCGUUGCUAUCUCUCUGGCAGAGAACUCUCUACCCUGGGAGGAAAUUCAAAGAAGUCUUACAGUGAAUCACACCAUGCUCAGGAACAGGUCUUCUAGCUCAUCAAUGAGGUACAGCUCACAAAACUGAACUAUAGCAGCAUGGCAUUUAUCCCUGUUAUGUACGUAAACCUCCCAGUGUUGCAUGAAGAAAAUGUCCUCAGCCAUUACAUGGCUUCUUAAUGGCAUGUAAGGUUASGGUGCAAAACCUGCUGAAUUUUUGGAAGGAGCCCCAUCGUCUUUGUGUGGUUUGGCCAAGACACCUGCUAAUUAAAA
This 744-nucleotide long non-coding RNA is filed under the name Apteryx rowi (Okarito brown kiwi). Its description in RNAcentral is "lncRNA (ENSARWG00000004759.1)". Lineage: Eukaryota; Metazoa; Chordata; Aves; Apterygiformes; Apterygidae. The record is from RNAcentral.